This 639-nucleotide long non-coding RNA is filed under the name Homo sapiens (human). RNAcentral's name for it is "novel transcript". Lineage: Eukaryota; Metazoa; Chordata; Mammalia; Primates; Hominidae. The record is from RNAcentral.
UUAAUACUGGCAUUGCUCUUGGGAGCCAAGGAGUCCUAGAUGACUGAAUUCUGCUGUGAGGUCUGUAGCUCAGGGAGAAGAUGAGACAAGUGGACUUGGAAAGAACAAUCUUCCUCGAAAAAGUCCUCAGGGUGCAAAGAAGAGAAAUGCAAUAAAAUGAUAAUGAGGAGGCCCAGGACCCGCACAAGGGCACCACUGCAAGUAGAUACUUCGAGGAAACUUCCUGAUGCUUGUCCAGCCCUUGGUGGUGGUGCCCGGCAGCCCGUAUUCUUAUCCCAAAGCAAUAUGUGUGGAGACAGCCCAGCAAAAGCUGAGAGAUUGUGUGUCCAGAGACAUGUUCCAGGAAUGGAAACAGAGAGUGGAGGAGUUUCUUCUCUCCUCCCGUCUCCCGCUAGAGUGGGCGGUCCCUUUGGUGUCAUCGCACUGUCUUCAUAGCCUACUGCGCUCCAGGCCUGUGCGCCCAUGGCGGUCUUGGACCACGAGUGAGCCAUGAGCCCUCCCAAGCCCCAAGGCCAGGUCUGAAGCGGGCUGAUGUGUGCCCCUGGCUUUGUUGCCCAGAUCCUCACCACAAUCCCAGCAUCCCACCACUCUACUGCGAGAAGAGACAAGGGAGGAGAUGCACACCUCAGAGAAGGAGCA